ACCACAUGGUGCACUUCUCUUCUGUCACUGAAUUCUCAAAGUAAUUCCAUGGUCACGAAAUUCUUGCAUCCUUUCUUAGAUGCCUGUCUCUAGAGCAUUAUCACUAUUGGGGCCUAGAAGUUGUCAAAUUCAUCCAAUGCUAUAUAUACAGACGCAAACAGGUCCUUCUUACAACAGGCACGCAUGGAUGUUUGUUGAAUUAACUCUGGCCUUGGGUGGAUGUUUGUUAACCAUUGAGCUGAGUUACUUGAAGAAACUGAAGAUCCUGGAAAAUUAAGUGACACGUGAAAGUCUGAGAGUUAUUAAAUGGCUGAGUUGGACUUGUGAAGAACCUCCCCCCACGGCUCCCCCUCUGGCUUCCCUCAGCCUCUGAGUGAGAGGAUACCACUGCUGCCAUUUCUAAGCCUGUAUUUUCUUUCCAUUACAGCAUAUUGCCACCCAACUCACAGACUCAGAUCUUCCUGGUAAAACUCAGGGAUGCUUGCAGGAAGGAAGACAGAAGGAAAAAUGAAAUGCAAUUUAACGAGAUCUUUACUCAUCCACCUGCAAAAGGAGAAACUUAGAGGACACAAUGAAAUAACACAGAAUGUAAAGGGCCCACUGCCAAGCUUUCUAGGCAGGAGCCUUUUAAACAUGCAAAAUCAGUGGUUACACCGUUAAUAAAUUAGCUUUCUGAUAAAAUGUAA
This is a long non-coding RNA of Otolemur garnettii (small-eared galago), 686 nucleotides long. RefSeq lists it as uncharacterized. The transcript is spliced from 2 exons. The record is from RefSeq and is a predicted model, not a curated record. Lineage: Eukaryota; Metazoa; Chordata; Mammalia; Primates; Galagidae.